GUCUACGGCCAUACCACCCUGAACGCGCCCGAUCUCGUCUGAUCUCGGAAGCUAAGCAGGGUCGGGCCUGGUUAGUACUUGGAUGGGAGAUAUAUCUGAGGCAAAAGAGG
Molecule: ribosomal RNA, 110 nt
Filed under: Myotis brandtii (Brandt's bat)
Lineage: Eukaryota; Metazoa; Chordata; Mammalia; Chiroptera; Vespertilionidae
Source: RNAcentral